CUGCCUGGUUUAACCUCUUUGCAGAUCUGGACCCUCUGUCCAACCCAGAUGCUAUUGGGCGCAGUGAUCAGGAGUUCCUCAAUGCCUGAGAUGUGUUUUUUGAAGGAUGGUAUGGAGCUGAUCACUUCCCAGAUAUUCUUUGCCGGAAAGGAGUGCAUAUCCCAAGCCUUUAUUCGGAGCUGGAACACUACCUCUCCUGAAACCGUUCAACCUGAGCCAAGGAAGCAUCCAGAAAUUUCUAUUCAUAUCCAACACUGAAAGGUUUCUGAGAUAUGGGAAUGUCUCUCUUUUCUCCAUUCUUUCAUUGUGUGCGUGAAUUUACUGUAUGUUCAUUCGGUCAGGACACCGAAGGGUAAAAUGUUGAAGACUUCAUCUCUAUAUCACUAUAGUGUUGUUACCUGAGAGUAAAGUAUCAGUUACUUUCUGAAGUGCACAUGUUUAAAGGGACUUUGCCCAUCUUGUAUGUGGGGGGGCUGUUUUGCCUAGGACCAAAAAAAGAAAUAAACCUGCGUAAGCACAGCAGGGGAGUUUUAAAGUUUAUAGUGUUGUUACCUGAGAGUAAAGUAUCAGUUACUUUCUGAAGUGCACAUGUUUAAAGGGACUUUGCCUAUCUUGUAUGUGGGGGGGCUGUUUUGCCUAGGACCAAAAAAAGAAAUAAACCUGCGUAAGUGUGUGUAUAUCAGUAUGUUUUGUACAGCAGGGGAGUUUUAAAGUCCAGAAACAGGGUUACAGAUUUAUAACACCUGUUAUACAUUAUAGACUGUAUUUUUAAUCAAGAUUGAUACCCAAAAUGUGUGAAGUUGCGUGUAAAUAACAAAAAAUAUUUUUGGAGUCUCUUUCACUGGAUUAGUUUAACCCUAAAUUAUAAAAUAAAUGAAAUUAUUUAUUAAUAUAAUAAGUGUUACUGUAAACUACAUAUGCAAGUCGUGUGCUGUGCCAUUAGUUUGGUUGGAAUGAGGUCGUAACAUUUUAAUGAAACUAGUCAUAGGUGAUGCAUCUGGUUUUCAGUGACAAAAAUGCUGAAACACUCUCACGCAGAGAAAUAACUUCUCCCAAAUGAUCUUCACUGUCACACUGUGAUGCAAAACACUGGAAUGCAUUUGUGAACAUGUUUUUGUAUGUGAUUUUAUUUCAUAUGUCACCUUUAGCACAGAAUUACAUAAAUAUCCUACUUUAGAAAACGUUACAUUUUAACGUUACAGAUUAUCAUGUUUGGACUCAUCAGGAGUGACUAUGAAAUUGACCAAAAGGUUUUUGUUUUUUUUUGCAUUAAAGAAAUGCACUAAACUGUCUCCGAGUCCAAUCUCGGAUUGUUCUAGAAUGUAUGUUGUCUGCUUUUAAGCAUAGACAUGUUCAUUAGUCUGAAUAGCUUUGUCUAGCUGAAGUCUGUACAUUUCGCACAGGAUUUCACUCCAUAUUCAUUGGCGUGCAUCUUUUUGUCUUUGAGUGGUUUAACAUUUUGUAGUGUCACUUUAUGUAUUAGAGAAAUGUUGUGUUUGGAACUACAUGUUAAGAUGUUAUUAUAUGACUUGUCUUUUUUUUUUUUACUUUGAAAGAAAAAGAAUGUACACCACACCAUUCUCAGCUGCUUUCAUCUGUUUAUUUUAUGCAACUUUGCCUUUUGUUUCAGUUAAAUGAUGGAAACUGGACUGAGAUCUUGCAUCUGAGAGCUAAUAAAUUUGAGAAGAAUUCUGUUUCUGAUUGUUAUUUCUCUCAUUAUUGGUCAAUGUAAUCAGUUCUCAUAUGGCAAAAAAAAAUAAUCGAAUUUUAU
RNAcentral lists this long non-coding RNA (1771 nucleotides) under Sinocyclocheilus grahami. RNAcentral's name for it is "lncRNA (ENSSGRG00000017861.1)". Lineage: Eukaryota; Metazoa; Chordata; Actinopteri; Cypriniformes; Cyprinidae. The record is from RNAcentral.